UGGAGCAUGUGGUUUAAUUCGAAGCAACGCGAAGACCUACCUGGCCUUGACAUGCUGAGAACUUUCCAGAGAUGGAUUGGUGCCUUCGGGAACUCAGACACAGGUGCUGCAUGGCUGUCGUCAGCUCGUGUCGUGAGAUGUUGGGUUAAGUCCCGUAACGAGCGCAACCCUUGUCCUUAGUUACCAGCACGUUAUGGUGGGCACUCUAAGGAGACUGCCGGUGACAAACCGGAGGAAGGUGGGAUGACGUCAAGUCAUCAUGGCCCUUACGGCCAAGGCUACACACGUGCUACAAUGGGGGGUACAAAGGGUUGCCAAGCCGCGAGGUGGAGCUAAUCCCAUAAAACCUCUCGUAGUCCGGAUCGGAGUCUGCAACUCGACUCCGUGAAGUCGGAAUCGCUAGUAAUCGUGGAUCAGAACGCCACGGUGAAUACGUUCCCGGGCCUU
Molecule: ribosomal RNA, 447 nt
Filed under: uncultured Pseudomonas sp.
Lineage: Bacteria; Pseudomonadati; Pseudomonadota; Gammaproteobacteria; Pseudomonadales; Pseudomonadaceae
Description: bacterial SSU rRNA
Rfam family: Bacterial small subunit ribosomal RNA
Source: RNAcentral